This 1140-nucleotide long non-coding RNA is filed under the name Equus caballus (horse). RNAcentral's name for it is "lncRNA (ENSECAG00000047244.1)". The record is from RNAcentral. Lineage: Eukaryota; Metazoa; Chordata; Mammalia; Perissodactyla; Equidae.
GGGAAUAAAGAAUGUAAGAGGAGGCAAUGCAAUCUCUUCUUUCUCGUUGAUGGGGAUAGAGAGAGGGGCUAUCUGAGUUGAUUACAUGUAAAUAAGCCUUAGGAUUUUUUUUUCUUUAAGGACCAUCUGGAAGAGGCAGCUGUACUGCAUCUUCACUAAAGCUAGAAGAGGAAGUAGUGGGCUUAAGCUUCCACACAGGGAUUUGGGUUAAAUAUAAGAAAAUAUUUCCUUACAAGAAGAUUUGUAAACAUUGGUACUGGGUAAAGAAGGAGGUGGCGUAAUCACAUUCCCUGGAGGACUUUACCACAGAAGAGAUUGCUGUCAAAUUAAGAUGAUUUUCUGUGCGUGCCUACAAGAAGCAGAGAAUGGGCACCCAUGGAACCAGGACAUCUCUGCAUUAAUAAGGACCUGAAAGACACUUAGCUGAAACACCCAUUUUACAGAGGACAGAAAUGUGGCGUAGAAAAUGGGCUCUACUCCAGGGGAGCCACCCACCUUCUGACACUCUGAGUACAAGAAUGUGCUAUGUCUACUUCAUCUUGGGACUCCUCAGCAGAAUGUGACCAAACCCUAGUACCAGGGGGCCCUCCUUGAAAACUACACAGUUGUCAUGUGUUUAAAGCUGGAUGAAUCCACUCACUUAUAACAAAAGGAGAUCUGAAAUUGUUGACUAUUUCUUCUGACAUCUGUGACUGGAGUUCUAGGGGUGAUGCUGACGUGUGGGCAUUUGGAGAAGGCAGGCCUGGGUGUGGUGGUGUGGAAGCAGGAGGUCUGGGGCACUGAGGUGGAGGAGGGCCUGGGAAAGAGAACUCUAGGAGCAAGGAGAGAAGUUCCAGAGGGAGGUAAACGACCGCCAAAAAUAACCCUUCCACUUAGAAGACGUGCCUGGGGAAAUGUUACUGAAAAUUCCUUUUGCAAUGGAUCUUAGGUAGUUAAUUUAUUUUUCCACCGAUAUUUUAAUAUACAGUUGCUGUGAUUUUUUUAAAUUCCACUAUUAAACUUACAUUUUAAUUUGAUCUGCCCAAAAUAAAGUUGUGAUCCACUCUUAUUUCCAAGAAGUCAUUUGUUAAUUCAUUUCUUUCUUUAAAAAAACUGUAUUAAGUGACUACUCUUUGUAAAACACUUUGCUAUAUGUCAUGG